AACGCGAAGAACCUUACCCGGACUUGACAUGCAGAGGAAUGUUCUAGAGAUAGAUCAGCCCUUCGGGGCCUCUGCACAGGUGCUGCAUGGCUGUCGUCAGCUCGUGCCGUGAGGUGUUGGGUUAAGUCCCGCAACGAGCGCAACCCUUAUCAUUAGUUGCCAGCAUUUAAGGUGGGAACUCUAAUGAGACUGCCUGGGUGAACCAGGAGGAAGGUGAGGAUGACGUCAAGUCCGCAUGGCCCUUAUGUCCGGGGCUACACACGUGCUACAAUGGUCGGUACAGAAGGCAGCGAAGCCGCGAGGUGAAGCAAAUCCGAUAAAGCCGAUCCCAGUUCAGAUUGCAGUCUGCAACUCGACUGCAUGAAGAUGGAAUUGCUAGUAAUGGCGUGUCAGCAACAGCGCCGUGAAUACGUUCCCGGGCUUGUACACACCGACAUA
This 438-nucleotide ribosomal RNA is filed under the name uncultured bacterium. RNAcentral describes it as "bacterial SSU rRNA". It matches the Rfam family "Bacterial small subunit ribosomal RNA", at positions 958 to 1397 of the family's 1533-position model. The record is from RNAcentral.